AGUUUUAUAGUCAAAAAAUGAUUUUAAAUUGCAAAUUUAAAGGUAUAUUAUUAUUUAAUAUUAAGGCUU
This 69-nucleotide transfer RNA is filed under the name Stigmella roborella. RNAcentral describes it as "tRNA-Cys". Lineage: Eukaryota; Metazoa; Arthropoda; Insecta; Lepidoptera; Nepticulidae. The record is from RNAcentral.